RNAcentral lists this ribosomal RNA (274 nucleotides) under uncultured bacterium. RNAcentral describes it as "partial 16S ribosomal RNA". It matches the Rfam family "Bacterial small subunit ribosomal RNA", at positions 523 to 796 of the family's 1533-position model. The record is from RNAcentral.
AUACGAAGGGGGCUAGCGUUGUUCGGAAUCACUGGGCGUAAAGCGCGCGUAGGUGGAUCAAUUAGUUGAGGGUGAAAUCCCGGGGCUCAACCUCGGAACUGCCUUCAAUACAGUUGAUCUUGAGACCGAGAGAGGUGAGUGGAAUUCCUAGUGUAGAGGUGAAAUUCGUAGAUAUUAGGAAGAACACCAGUGGCGAAGGCGGCUCACUGGCUCGGUACUGACGCUGAGGUGCGAAAGCGUGGGGAGCAAACAGGAUUAGAAACCCCAGUAGUCC